Molecule: ribosomal RNA, 468 nt
Filed under: uncultured bacterium
Lineage: Bacteria
Description: partial 16S ribosomal RNA
Rfam family: Bacterial small subunit ribosomal RNA
Source: RNAcentral
GACGAACGCUGGCGGCGUGCUUAACACAUGCAAGUCGAACGGAAAGGCCCUGCUUUUGUGGGGUGCUCGAGUGGCGAACGGGUGAGUAACACGUGAGUAACCUGCCCUUGACUUUGGGAUAACUUCAGGAAACUGGGGCUAAUACCGGAUAGGAGCUCCUGCUGCAUGGUGGGGGUUGGAAAGUUUCGGCGGUUGGGGAUGGACUCGCGGCUUAUCAGCUUGUUGGUGGGGUAGUGGCUUACCAAGGCUUUGACGGGUAGCCGGCCUGAGAGGGUGACCGGCCACAUUGGGACUGAGAUGCGGCCCAGACUCCUCCGGGAGGCAGAAGUGGGGAAUAGUGCACAAUGGGCGGAAGCCUGAUGCAGCAACGCCGCGUGCGGGAUGACGGCCUUCGGGUUGUAAACCGCUUUCGCCUGUGACGAAGCGUGAGUGACGGUAAUGGGUAAAGAAGCACCGGCUAACUACGUG